AGAGUUUGAUCAUGGCUCAGGACGAACGCUGGCGGCGUGCCUAAUACAUGCAAGUUGAGCGAUGAAGAUUGGUGCUUGCACCAAUUUGAAGAGCAGCGAACGGGUGAGUAACGCGUGGGGAAUCUGCCUUUGAGCGGGGGACAACAUUUGGAAACGAAUGCUAAUACCGCAUAACAACUUUAAACAUAAGUUUUAAGUUUGAAAGAUGCAAUUGCAUCACUCAAAGAUGAUCCCGCGUUGUAUUAGCUAGUUGGUGAGGUAAAGGCUCACCAAGGCGAUGAUACAUAGCCGACCUGAGAGGGUGAUCGGCCACAUUGGGACUGAGACACGGCCCAAACUCCUACGGGAGGCAGCAGUAGGGAAUCUUCGGCAAUGGACGAAAGUCUGACCGAGCAACGCCGCGUGAGUGAAGAAGGUUUUCGGAUCGUAAAACUCUGUUGGUAGAGAAGAACGUUGGUGAGAGUGGAAAGCUCAUCAAGUGACGGUAACUACCCAGAAAGGGACGGCUAACUACGUGCCAGCAGCCGCGGUAAUACGUAGGUCCCGAGCGUUGUCCGGAUUUAUUGGGCGUAAAGCGAGCGCAGGUGGUUUAUUAAGUCUGGUGUAAAAGGCAGUGGCUCAACCAUUGUAUGCAUUGGAAACUGGUAGACUUGAGUGCAGGAGAGGAGAGUGGAAUUCCAUGUGUAGCGGUGAAAUGCGUAGAUAUAUGGAGGAACACCGGUGGCGAAAGCGGCUCUCUGGCCUGUAACUGACACUGANGCUCGAAAGCGUGGGGAGCAAACA
Molecule: ribosomal RNA, 783 nt
Filed under: uncultured marine microorganism
Description: bacterial SSU rRNA
Rfam family: Bacterial small subunit ribosomal RNA
Source: RNAcentral